This 322-nucleotide ribosomal RNA is filed under the name Digitipes sp. B JJ-2012. RNAcentral's name for it is "eukaryotic LSU rRNA". It matches the Rfam family "Eukaryotic large subunit ribosomal RNA", at positions 704 to 953 of the family's 3401-position model. Lineage: Eukaryota; Metazoa; Arthropoda; Chilopoda; Scolopendromorpha; Scolopendridae. The record is from RNAcentral.
AAACCCUAAGGCGCAAUGAAAGUGAAGGUCAGGCAUCGCACUGACUGAGGCAGGAUCCGUCCGGGUGAGCGAAGCUCUUCUUCUCUUCGCGGGUUCGUCCCGCGGGGGAGCUCGGCGGCGCACUGCCAGCCCAUCUCGGCCGCUUCCCGUCGGCGAGGUGGAGCUAGAGCGCACACGUUGGGACCCGAAAGAUGGUGAACUAUGCUCGGGCAGGACGAAGCCAGAGGAAACUCUGGUGGAGGUCCGUAGCGAUUCUGACGUGCAAAUCGAUCGUCGGACCCGAGUAUAGGGGCGAAAGACUAAUCGAACCGUCUAGUAGCUG